GCACGUGGAGGGAGAGAAUGCCCUACUGCCAGCAGCAACAGAACUGAAAGUUGGAGCUAUACAGACAGCUCAGUUUGCAUCUAAGAAGAAUGUGGAGUUCAGUUUUGAUAACCUGUCACACCUCCAGAAGAAGGGAUUUGCUAUUGAACCUGUAAAGGGAAAAGUUGAUCGUGGUCAUGUAAAACGCAUCAGCGUUUGUUGGGUGCCACCUGCUGACUUUGAUGCCAGUGCCCCCCUGGUUGAGACAGCCUUCCUGAACUUAAAAGGUGAUAUAAAGGAAUCUUACAGAAUCCUCUUUGUGGCAACAGUUAUAUCUGCUCCCACUAGCUGAGGGCUCAAAGCUAUGUGGAAGGUAAAGACUUGAUAUUUGGGAAAUCACUGGAUCUCAGUUGGAACCUGGGAAGAUUCUGAAACUGUUGCAAAUAUGUGAGGGGAGGAGGAAAGCGGGAAGGAAGGUAACAUGUAAAAUUCCUGCUUUUCUCCCCACAGAAUUCUAUAUAAACUCCUUAUCUACUAGUUUUAUUUUUAGACUGACCUGGUGAUGCUAACCUUGUAGUAUAGGGAAGAAUUAAUGAGAGGCACCAAGUAGAUACAUCUACUGCUAAUUGCAGUGUCUUCCAAAGGCAGGAAUUCCCUCAGAAGGAGUAACUUUUUACCUCUAAAUGGGUGAGUUUCAAACAACGUCUGCUUCCAACUUCAUUUGCAUUUUAAUGGCUGUGGUGGUUUUCUUUUCUGUUUUCCCUAAGACCAGAAUAAAGUACUUCAUUUUAAGCUGCCUCCUGCUAGUUUGGGCAAUGAUUUUUACAAUACAGUGUGAAAUCUUCAUGUUCAAGAAGAGAUGGUGACUAUGCUGUCUACUAAUCACUGUCUAUGAUUAGAUGCUAGAUCAUGGCUGCCCAGGAACUUUAUUUUCUAUAUUUGUUUUCAUUUGAAUUCUGACUAAGAUCAGAUUCCUGCUGGUUACUGGAUAAGCUGAAGUGCCCCAUAGGUUUAACUCGGGUCAAGAAUGGUAUCUGGUUCAGGGAUAGGGAACAAGGGACCAUGGAGUCAGCAAAAAUCCUGAGCACAGAAAUCCCUUAAAUCUUGCAUCAUCUUUCAUGAAUUACAGUAAGCCUGUGAUAAAGCUUCCUGACCGCCACUCCAACACCCUAUGUCAUUGUGUAGUUGUUAAAAUUGCUCAUAUAGCUUAGCAGUAAGAAAACAGAACUAGUUGUAAAUGUCACUAAGGUAAAUGCUUCACGCUUGCCCAACUACGAGGAGCUCACCACAGCAACUCUAGCCUUCAUGUAACUUACCUCUUGAAGAAAGAAAUAAUUCAACACUUCACCUCCAACGCAGGUUAGCAAGAAUUACUGUAUGUGGGGCGUUAAAAUUGCCAGGAACUGCUACACAUAAAACAUCAAAACAGAAACGUAAGUUUACAAGACUUCAGUAGGGAUGGAGCCUACACUGUGAGGAAGAGACAAAAAUGUGUCCUCAGAAAUACAGCUGAGUUUUCCAGAAGCUUAAGUUUUCUGCUUCUCUAACUGUACUCCUGAACAUCGUGCUUUUACAUGGAGUGUUGCAACUGUGGGUUGCUCCUGGAUCACCAGAUGGGAACUCUUGAACUUUCAGAAGUAUAUCUACAUU
Molecule: non-coding RNA, 1629 nt
Organism: Meleagris gallopavo (turkey)
Lineage: Eukaryota; Metazoa; Chordata; Aves; Galliformes; Phasianidae
Source: RefSeq, a predicted model, not a curated record